CUACUGCUGAAGAGUCCCAAACUAGGACGAAACAGUUGUCCAGUAC
Molecule: non-coding RNA, 46 nt
Filed under: Trichobilharzia regenti
Lineage: Eukaryota; Metazoa; Platyhelminthes; Trematoda; Strigeidida; Schistosomatidae
Source: RNAcentral